UGUCCAUCAACCAUUUGCUACAACCUAGGUUGCACAUUUUUCUAACAUCAUGGAAAAACCAGAGAAUGAAGAAUAUUACCUUUCUGGUAAGUUAGUUUCAGAAAGUGUUACGGAACCUGGACUGGAUCCUCACAGAAGAACCAAGUGGCACUCGGAGACCUUGGAGGACUGAAGGUUUAUUUAACACCCCUGGGCUCAGAGGAGUGUAGUCUCCUAAGGUCAGUGGUUCUCCAGGUGUCAUCUCCAAUGCAGCAGGGGAAACAACAGACCUGGGAACUACUUAAAAAUGCAAAGUCUUUGGGCCCUAUCCCAAAUCUACAGAACCAUAGACUCUGGGGAUGGAAUCUAGCACUUACGCUUUAACAAGCCCUGCAGGGGAUGCUGAUGCUUGCUGAAGUUUGGGACUAUUAAUUUGACAGCUGCCAAUUAUGUAAAGAUAUUCCAGGAUCAGAGGCAACUGAAGGUAAAAGCCUCUGGCCCCCAGCCUACCCACCAAUAAGAGGGUGUCCUAGCAGAAGGCCCGAGAUCAUAUGCAAGACCCCAGGCAACUAGGCAGUUGUGACAAAAGAGGGAGAGCAUGGAGAGAUCCCAGCAGUUGAUAGAUCGACUAAGACCUAACCUAAGGGUGAAGAUCACUGUUGCAAUGUGUAGUCUUUUAGAGGCACUGGCCACAUGUAACAGCGGCCUGUCAAAUGAUGGAUGAAGACACAAGGUGAAAUCCACCACUGACAUUCUCUCAAGAAAACCUUGUACCAGCUUACCAGGAC
Long non-coding RNA from Mustela erminea (ermine), 767 nucleotides. RefSeq lists it as uncharacterized. The transcript has 7 exons. The record is from RefSeq and is a predicted model, not a curated record. Lineage: Eukaryota; Metazoa; Chordata; Mammalia; Carnivora; Mustelidae.